Amphibalanus amphitrite is the source of this 1660-nucleotide RNA transcript. RefSeq lists it as uncharacterized. The transcript is spliced from 5 exons. NCBI's taxonomy places the organism in Eukaryota, Metazoa, Arthropoda, Thecostraca, Balanomorpha, Balanidae. The record is from RefSeq and is a predicted model, not a curated record.
CCCCCUGGUGCCUACUGAGUGUCACUGUAGGCUCAGGAAGCCUGGGAUGUAUACAAAAAAAAUCGCGCCGGCGGCCUCAGCCUGCACACGCGAGCCGCGUCUGGCUGCAGGUACCAGCUCUGUCGGCAAUGGCAGCGUCCAGGGCGACGGCGGCAGCGCUGCUGGUGCUGCUGGUCACAGCGGCGCCGGCCCUUCUGACCGGCCCACCGGACCCUCCGCCGGAUCCGACUUCUGCCGAGGGGUGCCGGGCGGCGGGCGCCCUGUGCCUGGCCCGGCCCGGCCCCGGACAGCCGGCCUGCCCGCGCUGGCAGCGGCCCUUCGCCGGCAUCUGCGGGCCCGCGGCCGACUGCUGCUUUAUCGAGUAUUGGAACCACGCGCUGGUCUGCGGCCUGUUUGGCGGGGACUGCGCGCCCGUGGCCAGCUGCGGGGGCGCGCCUCGGCAUCGGAACGCCUUCUGCGCGCGGCCCGGUGACACCUGCUGCAUCUGGCUCUACUAGCCCGGUGACACGUGCUGUAUCUGGCUCUACUAGCCCGGCGACACCUGCUGCGUCUGGCUCUACUAGCCCGGCGACACCUGCUGCGUCUGGCUCUACUAGCUGAUAAAUCGACUCUUCUUCCUAACACCGAAAACAGAACAUAGGUACCAAGAUUCUCCGAAGAAAAAAAAAUGAUGAAAAUCUUAUGAACCUGUCGUCGGUAACUAUAUUGUCGCUGUGUUUUAUUUUCUGUUAUGGGGGCCACGGAUUUCAGUUUUCUUUUAGAAGCCCAUAUCGACAGGCGUUUUCUCGUUAGGUAAAUCAACGGGAGUCUUACUGAUGACUGUUCGCAAUCACACGCGCUGUGAGAAAAUCACGGUCGCGGUGGGCGGGACCGGCGCUGCCACCUUCGGUGACCGUGCCACGAUCGCGGUGGAUGCGACCUGCAUCACUGCCUCUGGCGGCGCAAGGCUCGCUGCAACACCACGUGCAGCGGCGGUGAGGACCGAGGCCGGAACCGUGGUGAGACCGUACCGCCCGCACGCACCGGCCAGGCGGCAUGGUGUCGCAACCUACGCACUGGCCACUGACCGACCUUCGCCCGACCUCUCGGGACGUGACGAUGAACCCGGAACGGAGCGCGAGGAGAUGACUUUCGCCCGACCCUGGGGCCGCGGUGGCGAGACCGGCCCGGCGCGCGAGGUCACGACUUUCACGCCGCACAGCUGCGCCACGUGAAGUGCGCGCUUCUCCGACGUUUAGAACAUGUAGUUUUUAUAUUUAUGUGCUUAGCCCUGCAAUGGAACAAGCUUUUUCUCCUGUAGCUCUGUAUAGCCAACAAAAAAGCAGACUAACAAAGGAGCAGACCUGGAAUGCGGAUCGCAUUAUUUCUUGUGUGAAAUAUAUUACGACGUAUUACGGUAAAUACGAGCGUAAUGACUUAUUGCAGGACCGAUCCUCACGGACUGCAUGAUUUAGGUAUUGUACUUCACAGUGUUCGAUAUGCCAGGUUCUAAGCUGAUGUAUGUAUGUCGCCGUGGCGCGGCAGUGUUUUCUUCACUGCGCGUGUAGCGGGUAACAUUGCGACUGUCUGCCUAUUGCCUAGUAACUGUACUUUUGCUGUACUUGAAUCUAAUCUCAUGUCUAUAAUAGCCUGUAAUGUAAUAUACCUGUUCCAAGACAAA